GGUUGGCACCAGUUUUAAAUCAUUUAGCAGUCUUUUAGGCCUCAUAGAACCAUAUACGUACACUUGAGGUCAAUCUCACAAUUGUCCGGGGAGACACGAGAAAGGAGACUCAGAAUGUAUCAAGCAAAUCGGUCCAUCUAGGAUUUGACGAUCGCAAAAAUUAACGCAAUAGCAAGCUAACUGUGAUAUUGGGAGGAGCUUGCAAGUAUUCAGAAUUACCACAGAUUUUCUGUCGAUUUGGGUCAAGACGCUUUGUGUGACAUCAUCACAACACUCAUUGGUCCAAAGCACUCUGCGAUGAGUACAGGUAUCAUAGACAGGAAAUGCAUAUGUGACUACACUAGUAGAAGUGUGAAGAAAAACCCUGUGAUUGAAAUUUUGCCAAAUCAAGUAAUUUAUGUGGGGAAAAUUGCAUCGCCAAUUUUAUAAAAACUGAAAGACAUUUUUGUCCACAACACCUCACAAAAAAUAUAUACAUAUAUACAAAAUCCUGGAGGGACUGAGAAAUUGCAUAAAAUCCAAUUGCAUAGCAAGAAUGAAGCAACACAUACAACAGGGCACAAACAACUAUCCACAUGAGACACAGAUCAGAUGAACACAUACAGUAGAAUAAUGUCAUGAUAAGACGAAAACCAAAAGAAAAGCAAAAGAACUCAAACCUCAAAUCAAACCUAGACAAAGGCAGCUGGGAAAUGAGCUGCACACUGAGAUGGAAGAUUAGUGACAAUGUGGCUGUCAUGAAUUCCUUAUUUUAUUUGUAUUUUUUUAUCUUAUCCAUCCAUUGUCAAUGCUAAAUGAGUGAUAUUUCAACAACACAAAGCACAAUCAUCUAGUAGAGAUUAUAAAUCAAUCUCUUUAGGCCUCUGAAAGAAUGAUGACUCCGUUGAUCGAUCGUUGUGGGGAUAGGAACGGCCGGGUGGCUGGUGAUAUAUAGACACAUCGAGAAAUGGCGAGUUCGAAAAGAGACAGCAGUGCUGAAGUGAAGUACAUUAAAAACACUGGUAUGAUAUGACUCUGGUCAGGAACAGUGAGGCAAAUGUAAUUUUGAAAGAAAGCCUGAGCAAUAAUGGAAAAGAGACAUAAAACUAUGAAUGUAGUUCUAACUGGAGCAUGGAGGGACCUGAGCGAUCGAGCAUGAUGACCCCAUACACAUGACAGAUGAGGAAGUCAAAGAAAUUCAGAGGCACAAUCAAACAAAAGCCACAGAGAGCCGUUUUUUUUUUUUUUGUUUUUUUUUUCAAAACUAUCAGCACCUGCAUGGCUGUUUUUCUUCGGUCGCAAUCACUCCAUGCUCGAUAUUUUCUGCCAAUAAAACUGGAGUGCUCUGGUUAUGUCAAUGUCUGCAAGAUGGAACCUAUUACAGACUACAGUGUCACCAAAACAACACUGCUUUAUUUGACAGGUUUCCAUUCCAAGCUCUUUUGUAACUUUAAGAAUUACGGAUAAGUUUGGCUUUGCUAAAUAAACUCCAAGGAGCUACUGUUGACUUCACACUUACACUCAUUUUAAUUUGAUUAAGGGACAUUAUAAAUCAUGAAGAGUGAUGAAGAUUGUACGUGUAAAGCCAACACCGGUUCCUUAAAGUUUAUACUGUAUGUUUCCAUGCAUUACCCUUGUAAAAAGCCUUUAGAGGUUGAAAUGGUAAUGCACACAAAAAAGGUUAUGUAUAUAAUUAAUUAGUAAUUAAUAAAGAGGAUUCUAUUUAUAUAAAGUACUGUAGUCCAAUCAACCAUACCAUUAAGCACGACUAAUUAUUGAUUGAUUGUCUUGUUAGAGUGUUUAUUAGCCAGCAAGUGAACAGUUAUUUCUCAAAGUUGUGCUGGAAAAAGAACCAGAUUAUGAUGGUUGCAUGAUCAGAGCAUCUCUAAAAACAGCAAAUCUUGUGGGGUUAUUCCCAAUAUGCAGUUGGUAGUACCUACCAAAAUGACAGAGAGCUGGUGAACAGAGUUAACAAAGUAAUCAGGGCUCAUUGAUGGAAGUGGGUACUAAAGGCUAGUCCGCCUCAUCCGAUCUCACAGAAGAACGAGCUGGUGAAGGCUGUAUUGUGCUCUUUGCAAUGUUCUGCUUGGAAACUGGGAGUGAAACCCCUUCAUUGCAACAGCACUCCAAGGUAUGGUUUGAGCAACAUAACAAAAAUCACAAAUUCCCCAGAUCUCAAUCUGAUUUGCCAGACAACCAAGUCUGAUCCAUUGAAGCUCCACCUCCUCGCAACCUAUAGGAUUUAAAAAAUCUGCUGCUAACAUCUUUGUGCUAGAUACAGAUACGCACACCUUCAGAGGUCCUGUGGAGUCCAUGAUUUGACAGGUCAGAGCACCAAGUGCACAAUAUUAAGCAGUUGGUUAUAAUUUUAUGACUUAUCAGUGCAUAAGGUAUUUAGUUUAUUCAUUAAGUGAAAAAUUUGUGUAGUUAAGAUCAACAACAUUUAAUGUAAAAGUAUAAACAGAAAGCUCUAGCCUAGUAAGACUACAGACUAGUAAGUCAGCCUUCAUCAAGUGAAGGACAAUAACACACAUUAGGGAAAAAAAACUAUAGCUUUAUAUCUAUAUUUUUUAUCUAUACUUGUGCUGGGUAUUAAAAGUAGUCACUUUAUGUAGGCUUAUGUCUAUUAGAUAAAGUUUUAAGAAAAUAUUUAAGGGAAAGUUUAUCAGUUGGUCCAGGAUUUUAGGUCAAAGAGGACAAAAUAUUUGUGUUUGAAAACAUCAAGCUGUGAAAUGACGUACAGCGGAAAAUGUUUACUGUAUGUUUUGUUGCUGCCUGUCAGACAGAUGAUAAAUGGCAUACAUCUGAUAGAUAGCACAGUGAAUUUUAGAGGUCUUCUUCCCUCAUCUAUUACUGUCAGGCCACCCCAUCAACCCUGUCUGUCUUCCUCUCCUUCUGAUUCUUAGUGUCUCUGAGUUUCUUAUUUAUGAAGCUUUUAAGAAUAGAAGACACAAAGUGUGAUUCCCCUUACACACCGUCUGUGCCAGGAACAACCUUGCCUGACCGUCACUUUUCAGAGAACUAUGUCACGAAACAUGGGUUUAGGUUAACGUCCGACUGUCUGAGAUGUUUCUCAGGAAAUAUGUCAAUAACGCAAUUACUCAGUAACACCUGUAGCAGCUGAGGUCAAAACGUUGCUGGGGAAAUAUGCAAUAAGUGUGUAUGUCAAGGUCGAGGUAGCUCUGAUUUGCAAUGCAAAUUAAAAAAAUAAUAAUAUUUGAAUAAAUAAUAUUUGCAUAGGCAUUUUAACCUAUUCCCCGUAAUCCUGCAAUAAAUGCUCUUAGCGCCUGACCUUGGGGUAUAUUUACACUGGGCAAUCAUUUGCUCCAUCUGUCUCUUUGCAUUCAUGUUGCUGUUCUCUCUGAGUACACAGAUAAAGAUGCUGGUCAAACUGUCUUCACAGAUGUCCGAGGUCCUCGUACGUCUUCUGCAUACUCCUCUUUCCUCGCUGCUACAAUCAGCAAUGCAUGUUUAUGGAUGAAGAAAAAUCAUGCGUGACAAGCGCAGGCUAACAACUAGCAUUUUUGAAAGCACAGACGUGAAUAUCAUGAAGAUUUUUAAAGUGUGAAAAGAGGUGUGUUAUGCUGACGAGCUUAAAAAAAAUACAUAUAUAUAAAAUUAUACACACACACA
Molecule: long non-coding RNA, 3612 nt
Organism: Tachysurus fulvidraco (yellow catfish)
Lineage: Eukaryota; Metazoa; Chordata; Actinopteri; Siluriformes; Bagridae
Exons: 2
Source: RefSeq, a predicted model, not a curated record